Molecule: long non-coding RNA, 678 nt
Filed under: Theobroma cacao (cacao)
Lineage: Eukaryota; Viridiplantae; Streptophyta; Magnoliopsida; Malvales; Malvaceae
Description: long non-coding RNA (TCAC_LNC004361)
Source: RNAcentral
CGUCACCUACUUCGUUCAACACGCUUUCCUAGCAACCAUUUAAAUUCAAUACAUUUAAUGAAUCAAUUCUACUUUUCUCUCUCUCAUUCUAUCAUAAAUCCACUCACCUAAUUCAUAUCUUAAUAUAUUUUUACUAUAAUUAAUUGCAUCCUUCGUUCACAUAAUUCUUUAGAGUAUUAACACCGGUAACUUAUUUAUGGUAUUAAGUGCCUAUUUCAACCUUCUAAGCAACUUAAAUUUACUUCAUAUCACUAACUAACCAAUGCAUAAUUAAAUAAAAUAAACUAGCCUCCAUAUAGUCCAAUUUCACAAUAAAUCAUGGAGAAGAGUAAAGAAUUUUACCCAAUUAAGCUAGGUUGGCCCAAAUCUCCACAUUCCUUUUCUUUUCAAUUUUUUUCUUCCUUUGUUGUUUUUGGACUCUUAUUCAUGGACUUCUCCCAUUUCUUUUUAAUUAGGUCAUGCCCAUUCUUCCUUUAUUAGGCCAUGUCCAAUUUUCUAUCUUGUUAUUUUCUUUUCCUUUCUUUUCUUUUCUUUUCUUUUCUUUUCUUUCUUUCUUUCUCUCCCACCGUCCAACAGCCCUUGUUGUCUUCCUUUUUCUUCUCUUCACAUGCACAAACCGUCCCACUCUCUUCCUUUCUCUCCCUCUCACCACCGGUCACCCUUUCUUGCCUUUCAACU